RNAcentral lists this transfer RNA (65 nucleotides) under Ceutorhynchus obstrictus. RNAcentral describes it as "tRNA-Phe". The record is from RNAcentral. Lineage: Eukaryota; Metazoa; Arthropoda; Insecta; Coleoptera; Curculionidae.
AUUUAUAUAGCUUAAAUUAGAGCGUAGUAUUGAAGAUACUAAAGUAAUACAAUUAUUUAUAAAUA